Molecule: ribosomal RNA, 497 nt
Filed under: uncultured bacterium
Lineage: Bacteria
Description: partial 16S ribosomal RNA
Rfam family: Bacterial small subunit ribosomal RNA
Source: RNAcentral
GAUGAACGCUGGCGGCGUGCCUAAUACAUGCAAGUCGAGCGAACGGACGAGAAGCUUGCUCCUCUGAUGUUAGCGGCGGACGGGUGAGUAACACGUGGAUAACCUACCUAUAAGACUGGGAUAACUUCGGGAAACCGUAGCUAAUACCGGAUAAUAUAUUGAACCGCAUGGUUCAAAAGUGAAAGACGGUUUUGCUGUCACUUAUAGAUGGAUCCGCGCUGCAUUAGCUAGUUGGUAAGGUAACGGCUUACCAAGGCAACGAUGCGUAGCCGACCUGAGAGGGUGAUCGGCCACACUGGAACUGAGACACGGUCCAGACUCCUACGGGAGGCAGCAGUAGGGAAUCUUCCGCAAUGGGCGAAAGCCUGACGGAGCAACGCCGCGUGAGUGAUGAAGGUCUUCGGAUCGUAAAACUCUGUUAUUAGGGAAGAACAGAUGUGUAAGUAACUGUGCACGUCUUGACGGUACCUAAUCAGAAAGCCACGGCUAACUACGUG